AUUGAACGCUGGCGGCAGGCCUAACACAUGCAAGUCGAGCGGUAACACAGGGAGCUUGCUCCUGGGUGACGAGCGGCGGACGGGUGAGUAAUGUCUGGGAAACUGCCUGAUGGAGGGGGAUAACUACUGGAAACGGUAGCUAAUACCGCAUAACGUCGCAAGACCAAAGAGGGGGAGCUUCGGGCCUCUUGCCAUCAGAUGUGCCCAGAUGGGAUUAGCUAGUAGGUGGGGUAACGGCUCACCUAGGCGACGAUCCCUAGCUGGUCUGAGAGGAUGGACAGCCACACUGGAACUGAGACAAGGUCCAGACCCCUACGGGAGGCAGCAGUGGGGAAUAGUGCACAAUGGGCGCAAGCCUGAUGCAGCCAUGCCGCGUGUAUGAAGAAGGCCUUAGGGUUGUAAAGUACUUUCAGCGGGGAGGAAGGCGUUGAGGUUAAUAACCUCAGCGAUUGACGUUACCCGCAGAAGAAGCACCGGCUAACUCCGUGCCAGCCGCCGCGGUAA
RNAcentral lists this ribosomal RNA (504 nucleotides) under uncultured bacterium. RNAcentral describes it as "partial 16S ribosomal RNA". It matches the Rfam family "Bacterial small subunit ribosomal RNA", at positions 29 to 523 of the family's 1533-position model. The record is from RNAcentral.